This 492-nucleotide ribosomal RNA is filed under the name uncultured bacterium. Its description in RNAcentral is "partial 16S ribosomal RNA". It matches the Rfam family "Bacterial small subunit ribosomal RNA", at positions 29 to 507 of the family's 1533-position model. The record is from RNAcentral.
AGUGAACGCUGGCGGUAGGCCUAACACAUGCAAGUCGAACGGCAGCACAGUAAGAGCUUGCUAUUACGGGUGGCGAGUGGCGGACGGGUGAGGAAUACAUCGGAAUCUACCUUUUCGCGGGGGAUAACGUAGGGAAACUUACGCUAAUACCGCAUACGACCUACGGGUGAAAGCAGGGGAUCUUCGGACCUUGCGCGAUUGAAUGAGCCGAUGUCGGAUUAGCUAGUUGGCGGGGUAAUGGCCCACCAAGGCGACGAUCCGUAGCUGGUCUGAGAGGAUGAUCAGCCACACUGGAACUGAGACACGGUCCGGACUCCUACGGGAGGCAGCGGUGGGGAAUAGAGGACAAUGGGCGCAAGCCUGAUCCAGCCAUACCGCGUAGGGUGAGAAGUCCUUCGGGUUGGAGAGCCCUUUUGUUGGGAUAGAAAAGCAGCAGGUUAAUACCCCGCUGUUCUGACGGUACCCAAAGAAUAAGCACCGGCUAACUUCGUG